CCCUUAGAUGUCCGGGGCUGCACGCGCGCUACACUGUAGAAAGCAGCGUGCAUUAAAACCUUUCCUGAAAAGGAUGGGUAAUCCCAGCAAAAUUCUACGUGCUUGGGAUAGAGAUUUGCAAUUUUCUCUCUUGAACGAGGAAUUCCCAGUAAGUGCGAGUCAUCAGCUCGCGUUGAUUACGUCCCUGCCCUUUGUACACACCGCCCGUCGCUACUACCGAUUGGGAAAAUUUUAGAGAGUCCUGGACUGAUGAUUGUUCGGCUUCACGGCCUUACUUUCGUCGGGAAAGAAUUCGAUAAUAUUUUUCUAGAGGAAGUAAAAGUCGUAACA
This 330-nucleotide ribosomal RNA is filed under the name uncultured eukaryote. Its description in RNAcentral is "partial 18S ribosomal RNA". It matches the Rfam family "Eukaryotic small subunit ribosomal RNA", at positions 1470 to 1796 of the family's 1831-position model. The record is from RNAcentral.